Lutra lutra (Eurasian river otter) is the source of this 1839-nucleotide long non-coding RNA. RefSeq lists it as uncharacterized. The record is from RefSeq and is a predicted model, not a curated record. NCBI's taxonomy places the organism in Eukaryota, Metazoa, Chordata, Mammalia, Carnivora, Mustelidae. The transcript is spliced from 2 exons.
CCGCCAAGCAGAGAGCCGGAUGUGGGGUUCAAUCCCAAGACGCUGGGAUGAUGGCGGAAAGCGGACACUUAAUGACUGAGCCACCCAGGCACCCCGCCCCAUCCCUUUCUUAAUUAUAGGGCAAGGCCAGAUCAUGAAGGGCCAGCCAUGCCCCUCAAAGUUACUGGAUUUUUAUCUUGGAAGCAGCUGAAGAGCCCCUAAUAUCAUCAGGUAAGGCAGCUCCAUGGUCCUAUCUGUGGGCAAAUGGACUGAAUGAUGGUAAGACUGAGGACGAGAAGGCCAUUUCAGAAACUCUUCACAACAGUCAACGUGAGCAGUAAUUAGGCUUGGACUGCACUUGCAGUGGAGAGGGAGCAGAAAGGGCAGGUAAGUGAGGUGGAAGCAAAGUGACAGGGUGACCAGCUGGGUUGAGAGUGGCGAAAGAGGAAGAAGUCAAGGAUAAUUCCCUGGCUUCUGACUUGAGAAGAUACCAGUCUCCAUGCCACAUCAUUCUAUCAGCUUUCAAUUGUGGAUUCUGGCUUCCUGAGAUUGGUCACUGCUGCUUUGCCACAUUCCCUUUGUCCUAAAGAAUGUCCCUAGGUGCUGCUGACUAGCUGUAGAAAUACAGAAGCAGCUGGCCCCACCUCUGAGUGGUGGUGAUGGGAGGGGGAAGCACCACCGGCGCCUCUCCCAGCCUCCUCUAUACAACCUUCAGCAACCAACAGCAGCAAUCCUUUAUGUGAUGCUCCAUUUAAUUCUGUACACAAAUAAGGAGGUCAAAAUAUAGUUAUUACGAACCCCACUAGUACAAGGCAUUAUAGAAAAAUAAAUAAAAGCUAAGAACAAUAGCUGAGAGUUCUAUAGGAAUGUCAUAUGAUGCAAUGCAAAGAUUUUGUGGUUCGUCAGGUGUGAGUUUGACUUCCGGCUUGUGUGACCUUGGGAAAUGGAUAUUCUUAAGACUUGGUUGCUUCCUCAAUAAAAUAGAUAGUAUAGCCUACCUCAUCUGUAAAAAUUGGUGAGAUAAUAUAUGUAAAACUCCUAUUAGCACCAUGCCCAACUUGUCAUAGAUUCAAAAGAUAAGAAUAAAGGAAAUAUCCUUCUCUAUUUCCCAUCCCCUUUGACUACUCAAAGACCUCCUGCCUCCAAAGAGAGUCUAGUUAUUACCAAUGGGUAUUUCUCUCUACUUCCCACACUUAUGCACACUGCCGUUAGCAAAAGGAAGCUUCUAAAGGCAAAAUAGGAUCAUAUCUGUGUCAGAGACUUUUGCAGUCCAUCCAAUAUUCAUCUUUCCUUUCCUCCUCAUUAAUGAAUGCUGAUUUUUCUGGGUGGAGCAAAGUACCAAGUGAAAAACAGUUCCCAGGCUCCAUUGCUGCUAGGGGUAGCCAUGUGAUACAUUAGGGCCAAUAAAUCUCUGCUAGAGAGGUUUUGAAAUGUUUCUGGCCACGGGUACUUUCAUUCCCCCUUCACUUUCCUUCCUUUUUUCAACUUCCUGGAAACUGGAUAUGAUAGUUGGAGCUACAGUGCCCACCUUGCAAACUAUGAGGAAAAGAUCAAGAUUCAUAGGACAUCAGUCUUGACAAAGGUGCGUUCCUGAAACGAUGCUUCCACCACCUUCCAAGACAUUUUUUCAACACAAUGGACAAAGAAAGCCCUAAUUUAAGCUGUUGACUUUCAGGUGUUUAAAACUUUCAUCUGAGCACAAUUCCUGACUUAAUCCCUUCAACCCUACUUUAGUAUGAUUUUCAAGGCAUUAACCAUGAUUUUCUUCCAACUGAAAAAGAAACAUUUAUUGAGUGUCCAGUAUAUGUCAGACAUUGUGUAUAUAGACAUUCAAAUAAAAAUUACAUAUUGACUCUUUAA